Long non-coding RNA from Thalassophryne amazonica, 373 nucleotides. RefSeq lists it as uncharacterized. The record is from RefSeq and is a predicted model, not a curated record. The transcript is spliced from 3 exons. Lineage: Eukaryota; Metazoa; Chordata; Actinopteri; Batrachoidiformes; Batrachoididae.
AUUUUUUUUGCCCUUCAGCAGUUUGGACCACUUGAUGGACCGUCUGGUAAGCACAACUAAGUACUCCGACAUCAGCUCCUCAUAUGACUCAUAAUCAAAGUCUUCUGAGCGCUCAAAGCCAUAUGGAUCCACUCUGGUCAUUCUGUCUUUAGCUGAGCGGGUCCCGUUUAUCUCCUUAUUCUUCUCCAUUUCUUCUUCCGUGAUAUUCAGCAUACACUAUUUUUUCGUCUAAAUACCAAAAAUACGUCCACAGCAAACAUUUAUGUCGAAGUCAUAGUUUUAAGGUGAGAUAGCAUAACUUUUGGUAUCCGUGUUUGGCUAAAACGGGACAAGCUGCAACUUAUUCCCAGAAUUCCACAGUAUUCCUGAAGGG